CGGAGGAAAAGAAACCAACUGGGAUUGCCUUAGUAACGGCGAGUGAAGCGGCAAUAGCUCAAAUUUGAAAGCUGGCGCCUUCGGCGUCCGCGUUGUAAUUUGUAGAGGAUGCUUCGGCGAGGACUCCUGCCUAAGUUCCCUGGAAUGGGACGUCACAGAGGGUGAGAAUCCCGUAUGUGGCGGGCGGUCCAAGCCAUGUGAAGCUCCUUCGACGAGUCGAGUUGUUUGGGAAUGCAGCUCUAAAUGGGAGGUAAAUUUCUUCUAAAGCUAAAUACCGGCCAGAGACCGAUAGCGCACAAGUAGAGUGAUCGAAAGAUGAAAAGCACUUUGGAAAGAGAGUUAAAAAGUACGUGAAAUUGUUGAAAGGGAAGCGCUUGCAACCAGACUCGCUCGCAGUUGCUCAGCCCGCCUCCUGGCGGGUGUACUCUUCUGCGAUCGGGCCAGCAUCAGUUCGGGCGGCCGGAUAAAGGUGUCGGGAAUGUAGCACCCUUCGGGGUGUGUUAUAGCCCGGCGCGGAAUGCGGCCAGCCUGGACUGAGGAUCUCGC
Molecule: ribosomal RNA, 546 nt
Filed under: fungal endophyte
Lineage: Eukaryota; Fungi
Description: eukaryotic LSU rRNA
Rfam family: Eukaryotic large subunit ribosomal RNA
Source: RNAcentral